CCGAAAGCGAACAAGUGGUGCCAGUUCUGAAGAUGAUUAGACAUUUUAAACGAAAUAAUGUUAUUAACCGGACUCUGUGAGAAAAGUUACAAACAGUUUAAAUUAUGGUGCCUGUGGAACUACCGUCAUCAGAAAUCCUUGCCGCCCCAUACGUAAGCAUCCCUGCCUUGCUUGCGAUGCUACGCUUACAUGCCUUCUUCGCGCUUACUCACACGGCUUUUAGAACAAUACUUUAAUGUAUUGUAUUGAAAUAACAAGCAUUAGACGGUGUUACAUUUUCUGACCGACUGUCCAAUGUAUGGAUACGAUAGGUUUAACACUGAACAAGCUAAGGGCAUAAAAGUAACGGAGACGAAUUUAAAGGAAAUAAUGUUCAGCAUUAAAUUACGAAGCAUGUUUUUGGGAUUUGCUGUAAUGGUUAUACAAAAAGUAGUUAAAAGAAAUAGGUAGUAGUGUUUUAUCAUCGGAGUUACCGAUACCACUUAUGUAAGCUAUUUAAUACCUACGACGACU
Pieris rapae (cabbage white) is the source of this 513-nucleotide long non-coding RNA. RefSeq lists it as uncharacterized. Lineage: Eukaryota; Metazoa; Arthropoda; Insecta; Lepidoptera; Pieridae. The record is from RefSeq and is a predicted model, not a curated record. The transcript has 3 exons.